CCAAGAAUAUUUCCUUCAAUCUGAGGCAGACCACAGCGUCUCCAGAAAAAACAGAAGAAAAACUAACUGCAGGCAUUUAACCAACUUCACUAAGCCUGUAACCCGUUCAGUCAUCCAGCCACUGGGGGCGCUGUUACGAAAGGACUGUCUGUGCAUGACUGGAGUGGAGCUGAAGCUGUCUACCUUUACGUCCCAAAACUUGAUGAAAACAUGAUAUGGAGAUUCCAGCUUCAGCGACAUGAUGUUCACGCCCAGCUCUCCGCCAUCUGUUCUCACCAGUCAAGCUGUCUUGGCAGCGCCUCGGUACCAGGAUGCUGCAUGAACCCCGUCUCCACCCGAAAGCUUUCUCUGCCCCCAUCAGAUGCUUAAAGCCAAACAUGUUCAACAAACUGACAGGAUCACAGGCAUCAAACUACUGAACUCACAAUUCAGCGUUUCUGCAGAGACAUGGAGACGUUCCCCGUCUAAAAGCUAAAGACGGUCGAUUCAGUUACAGAAAAAGAACAAAACCGAUGAGAAAAACUAACAUAUUUAGUUUGUCAAACCUGUAACAUGCACAUUUUUUCAGUUUUGAUCAUCAGUGGGCCUCCCAUGCAUGUUUUAGAUGUUUUUGUGCUGCAGGACUCCUGAUCCUUUUCAAUUAACCAAUUUAAAAUAUACUUUAUUGAUCGCAGUUCCUGCAGCAGUCUGUAUUACAACAAAUUUAAAGACGCCUCUGACGGAAGACACUUUUUUUAUGACAGUUUCAUGAAGAAUAUUGUCAUGGUUAUUAUUUUUCUUGAUUUUAGAUAAAAAAUGUAAACUAUCUGCAGAUGGGGAGGCAUUAAACCUGCAGGUGACUAAACCCUCAGAGUGGCCUAGUUAAAACCUUAGAGCUAAAAGCAGCUGAGCAUGUGAAAUCAAAGAGGUUUCCUGGAGGAGAUUCCCACGCUUUGUGGGUUAUUCUGCAUGAACUUUGGGUUUGUUUUGCUCUCCAUCGCUACGGAAACCUGGGCAGAGUCGAGCACACAGUUUGAAAGGCUUUGAAGUGCUUUCUUUUGUUCCUGACAAUGAGCGACAGCUGCAGAAAACAAAACACAUUUUCCUUUACUUUACUCAGAUUUGUUUAAAUAUAUUUCAGAAAUUUAUCAUGCAAGUUAAAAAGCAGAAAAAGGCCAACAAGAGAAAACUGGUGGUUAGUUCUGAGAAACGCCUCAGGAGCUCUUGUCCAAAUGCCAGAUCAAAAAAAGAGAAGUAUUAUUGAUGCAGCAAACAAGCCAUCACCUGUUUACAAGGUGUUGCUGCUCCGCCGGGCCUCUGUGGAAAUCUGCAGAAACACUUUAGCAGCUGUUUGCUGCUGACUGAAAGCUGCAGAAACUGACAAGAAAUGAUUUUGUUAUUGAUCCACUCAGGUUAAAUAAAAAAAGGUCAGUGAUGCUUUUCUGUCUGCAGACUCAAAAAAGAUAAAUAUCACAAAACGACGUGUGCAAAAUACGCAAAUUUAUUAAAGUGAUGCAGUAAAAUGUGA
Molecule: long non-coding RNA, 1507 nt
Organism: Poecilia latipinna (sailfin molly)
Lineage: Eukaryota; Metazoa; Chordata; Actinopteri; Cyprinodontiformes; Poeciliidae
Exons: 2
Source: RefSeq, a predicted model, not a curated record